Molecule: long non-coding RNA, 499 nt
Filed under: Ananas comosus (pineapple)
Lineage: Eukaryota; Viridiplantae; Streptophyta; Magnoliopsida; Poales; Bromeliaceae
Description: long non-coding RNA (ACOM_LNC016798)
Source: RNAcentral
AUUCUAUUUAAAUUAUAUAGAAAAAAUAACAACAAUACAAAAUGAGGCCUAAAUUUUUGCUCACUUACAAAAAUAACACACAUAAAAAUAACACACAUAUAUUCUCAAUCAGUGCUAGGUUAAUUCACAACCCGAAAUGGAUUGUAAUCCUACCACACUCACAUUAAAAGUCUUUUUUUUUUCACUAAUUUUAUCACUUUCUUGUUUAAAAAACAAACAAAAAACCAUAAUGUAAUUAUAUUUCCCAACUCUCUAUGGUAGUGUGAUGCCCCACUUCCCAGAGGGUCACCCAUUCUAUUCUAGUCCUAGCAUACUUAAUUCUCUUAACUUCUUGGUCCUAACCACUGCCUUACAUAUAUUAUAACCGAAUUAAGAGGCUUAGCACUACUAUACCUCAUAUGUAGGACUUUUCCAAAUCCUGAACUGUCACAUUCUCCCUUUCUUUAAACCCUGAUGUUCUUGUUAGGCUCAGACACACUUACAAGUACUAGGCAAUGUG